UGGGGAAUAUUGGACAAUGGGCGAAAGCCUGAUCCAGCCAUGCCGCGUGUGUGAAGAAGGUCUUCGGAUUGUAAAGCACUUUAAGUUGGGAGGAAGGGUACUUACCUAAUACGUGAGUAUUUUGACGUUACCGACAGAAUAAGCACCGGCUAACUCUGUGCCAGCAGCCGCGGUAAUACAGAGGGUGCAAGCGUUAAUCGGAAUUACUGGGCGUAAAGCGCGCGUAGGUGGUUUGUUAAGUUGGAUGUGAAAGCCCCGGGCUUAACCUGGGAACUGCAUCCAAAACUGGAAAGCUAGAGUAUGGUAGAGGGGGGUGGAAUUUCCUGUGUAGCGGUGAAAUGCGUAGAGAUGGGGAGGAACACCAGUGGCGAAGGCGACCACCCGGACUGAUACUGACACUGAGGUGCGAAAGCGUGGGGAGCAAACA
This 427-nucleotide ribosomal RNA is filed under the name uncultured bacterium. RNAcentral describes it as "bacterial SSU rRNA". It matches the Rfam family "Bacterial small subunit ribosomal RNA", at positions 355 to 774 of the family's 1533-position model. The record is from RNAcentral.